Molecule: ribosomal RNA, 497 nt
Filed under: uncultured bacterium
Lineage: Bacteria
Description: partial 16S ribosomal RNA
Rfam family: Bacterial small subunit ribosomal RNA
Source: RNAcentral
GAUGAACGCUGGCGGCGUGCCUAAUACAUGCCAGUCGAGCGAACGGACGAGAAGCUUGCUUCUCUGAUGUUAGCGGCGGACGGGUGAGUAACACGUGGAUAACCUACCUAUAAGACUGGGAUAACUUCGGGAAACCGUAGCUAAUACCGGAUAAUAUUUUGAACCGCAUGGUUCAAAAGUGAAAGACGGUCUUGCUGUCACUUAUAGAUGGAUCCGCGCUGCAUUAGCUAGUUGGUAAGGUAACGGCUUACCAAGGCAACGAUGCAUAGCCGACCUGAGAGGGUGAUCGGCCACACUGGAACUGAGACACGGUCCAGACUCCUACGGGAGGCAGCAGUAGGGAAUCUUCCGCAAUGGGCGAAAGCCUGACGGAGCAACGCCGCGUGAGUGAUGAAGGUCUUCGGAUCGUAAAACUCUGUUAUUAGGGAAGAACAUAUGUGUAAGUAACUGUGCACAUCUUGGCGGUACCUAAUCAGAAAGCCACGGCUAACUACGUG